This 253-nucleotide ribosomal RNA is filed under the name uncultured bacterium. Its description in RNAcentral is "partial 16S ribosomal RNA". It matches the Rfam family "Bacterial small subunit ribosomal RNA", at positions 524 to 776 of the family's 1533-position model. The record is from RNAcentral.
UACGGGGGGGGCAAGCGUUGUUCGGAAUUACUGGGCGUAAAGGGCGCGUAGGCGGCCUGCUAAGUCGGACGUGAAAUCCCCCGGCUUAACCUGGGAACUGCGUCUGAUACUGGAAGGCUCGAGUUUGGGAGAGGGAUGUGGAAUUCCAGGUGUAGCGGUGAAAUGCGUAGAUAUCUGGAGGAACACCGGUGGCGAAGGCGGCAUCCUGGACCAACACUGACGUUCAGGCACGAAAGCGUGGGGAGCAAACAGG